GCUGGGAUGGUCUAGUGGUAGAAUUCGGGACUGUGGAUCCUGAGGUCAGGGUUCGAUUCCCUGUCCCGGCACCA
This 74-nucleotide transfer RNA is filed under the name Candidatus Heimdallarchaeota archaeon. Its description in RNAcentral is "tRNA-His". It matches the Rfam family "tRNA". From Rfam's summary of the family: Transfer RNA (tRNA) molecules are approximately 80 nucleotides in length. Their secondary structure includes four short double-helical elements and three loops (D, anti-codon, and T loops). Further hydrogen bonds mediate the characteristic L-shaped molecular structure. tRNAs have two regions of fundamental functional importance: the anti-codon, which is responsible for specific mRNA codon recognition, and the 3' end, to which the tRNAs corresponding amino acid is attached (by aminoacyl-tRNA synthetases). tRNAs cope with the degeneracy of the genetic code in two manners: having more than one tRNA (with a specific anti-codon) for a particular amino acid; and 'wobble' base-pairing, i.e. permitting non-standard base-pairing at the 3rd anti-codon position. The record is from RNAcentral. Lineage: Archaea; Promethearchaeati; Candidatus Heimdallarchaeota.